UACAGAGGUCCCAAGCGUUGUUCGGAUUCAUUGGGCGUAAAGGGUGCGUAGGCGGCGCGGUAAGUCGGGUGUGAAAUCUCGGAGCUUAACUCCGAAACUGCAUUCGAUACUGCCGUGCUUGAGGACUGGAGAGGAGACUGGAAUUUACGGUGUAGCGGUGAAAUGCGUAAAUAUCGUAAGGAAGACCAGUGGCGAAGGCGGGUCUCUGGACAGUUCCUGACGCUGAGGCACGAAGGUCAGGGGAGCAAACGGG
Molecule: ribosomal RNA, 253 nt
Filed under: uncultured bacterium
Lineage: Bacteria
Description: partial 16S ribosomal RNA
Rfam family: Bacterial small subunit ribosomal RNA
Source: RNAcentral